UACAGAGGUCCCAAGCGUUGUUCGGAUUCAUUGGGCGUAAAGGGUGCGUAGGCGGCGCGGUAAGUCGGGUGUGAAAUCUCGGAGCUUAACUCCGAAACUGCAUUCGAUACUGCUGUGCUUGAGGACUGGAGAGGAGACUGGAAUUUACGGUGUAGCGGUGAAAUGCGUAGAUACCGUAAGGAAGACCAGUGGCGAAGGCGGGUCUCUGGACAGUUCCUGACGCUGAGGCACGAAGGCCAGGGGAGCAAACGGG
Molecule: ribosomal RNA, 253 nt
Filed under: uncultured bacterium
Lineage: Bacteria
Description: partial 16S ribosomal RNA
Rfam family: Bacterial small subunit ribosomal RNA
Source: RNAcentral